RNAcentral lists this ribosomal RNA (469 nucleotides) under uncultured bacterium. Its description in RNAcentral is "partial 16S ribosomal RNA". It matches the Rfam family "Bacterial small subunit ribosomal RNA", at positions 29 to 507 of the family's 1533-position model. The record is from RNAcentral.
ACGAACGCUGGCGGCGUGCUUAACACAUGCAAGUCGAACGCUGAAGCACCAGCUUGCUGGUGUGGAUGAGUGGCGAACGGGUGAGUAAUACGUGAGUAACCUGCCCUUGACUCUGGGAUAAGCCCGGGAAACUGGGUCUAAUACUGGAUGCUACAUGUCACCGCAUGGUGGUGUGUGGAAAGGGUUUACUGGUCUUGGAUGGGCUCACGGCCUAUCAGCUUGUUGGUGAGGUAAUGGCUCACCAAGGCGACGACGGGUAGCCGGCCUGAGAGGGUGACCGGCCACACUGGGACUGAGACACGGCCCAGACUCCUACGGGAGGCAGCAGUGGGGAAUAUUGCACAAUGGGCGAAAGCCUGAUGCAGCGACGCCGCGGGAGGGAUGACGGCCUUCGGGUUGUAAACCUCUUUCAGCAGGGAAGAAGCCACAAGUGACGGUACCUGCAGAAGAAGCGCCGGCUAACUACGUG